AUUGAACGCUGGCGGCAGGCCUAACACAUGCAAGUCGAACGGUAACAGGAAGCAGCUUGCUGCUUCGCUGACGAGUGGCGGACGGGUGAGUAAUGUCUGGGAAACUGCCUGAUGGAGGGGGAUAACUACUGGAAACGGUAGCUAAUACCGCAUAACGUCGCAAGACCAAAGAGGGGGACCUUAGGGCCUCUUGCCAUCGGAUGAGCCCAGAUGGGAUUAGCUAGUAGGUGGGGGAACGGCUCACCUAGGCGACGAUCCCUAGCGGGUCUGAGAGGAUGACCAGCCACACUGGAACUGAGACACGGUCCAGACUCCUACGGGAGGCAGCAGUGGGGAAUAUUGCACAAUGGGCGCAAGCCUGAUGCAGCCAUGCCGCGUGUAUGAAGAAGGCCUUCGGGUUGUAAAGUACUUUCAGCGGGGAGGAAGGGAGUAAAGUUAAUCCCUUUGCUCAUUGACGUUACCCGCAGAAGAAGCACCGGCUAACUCCGUG
Molecule: ribosomal RNA, 490 nt
Filed under: uncultured bacterium
Lineage: Bacteria
Description: partial 16S ribosomal RNA
Rfam family: Bacterial small subunit ribosomal RNA
Source: RNAcentral